UUUUAACUGGUUUGGUUUCCGGCUUCUCUUUCCCUCAUGGACCUACCUAUGUCAGGCCUCGAGGGAAGAAGAGACUAUAACAAGGAGGAAUGAGCAUCUCCAUUAGACGUGAAGGACCCCAAAGCAAGACUUCUUUGUAUCGUACAUGUGUUGUCACCAGAAAUAGAUCUGACAGAAACCCAGUACUACUUGAACUUAUAGAACUUUUGGGGAAACCACCAGAGCAUUCAUUCAGAGAUCAUUGUUUUACUAUCUCUGCAUCAGGGCAUCAUAAGCAUUUGGAAUGAUUCUUCCUGACCAGAAUACACAGAUGGCAUGUUUGGCUCUUUGACAAUGGCAGAAUCUGGGAACUAACACAGAAGGCUAUUCCCUGAAGCAAAAUGGAUUGAUCCAGAUGCAGAAAGCAAAACAGAUCAUCAUGAUGGAGACAAGGGGUAAGCAUAGAAACAGAUGCAAGUUUCUUUUACUUUGUCUGAAAGAAACACAAAAUGGAAUUCUUAGAGGAGCAUCCCCUGGAAACCACAACUGAAAUCUCUACAUCCACUUCAAAAGACUCAUGCUAACUAUGAACUGUUGAAGUAGAAUUGUGUCUGAUGUGUGCACAUAUAUGUAUAUCUGCAUGUAGUUUGUUGAGUGACUAGUGAUCAAACAUGUGUAAGUACCUGUUAAACUUGUGCAAGUAAACAUACAUACAUGUACAUCUCAUAAAGUUACACAUAUGCAGAGACAAGAGGCCAAUGUCUAUGAAGCCUUCUCUGGAAAACCCCAUUCUAUAUCUAAACAUUAGACCCAUCUCUUCCUUCCCUGUGUCUAAAUCCAAGCACUUCCUGUACUUUCUUUGGAUACUUUGACUUUGGUUAUUUGUGCUUCUGACCCCCCUCGAUCAACACUUUAUCUCCUGCUCAUGCCUUAUCUCACCCCAACUGUUAUCUCAGUCAAUUGGAUCUAACCUACAGCACCUGACCUCUGGCUGACUUCAGGACCCCAAUGAGUUCCAAACUGAUGCCCCCCCCCCCCAUCUUACAUUGUCUGGUUCAACCCAGCCAGGCAAAACACACUCACACACCACAGUAAAGGCAAAUCUGGAACACUCCAAUACUAUUUAUG
This 1107-nucleotide long non-coding RNA is filed under the name Felis catus (domestic cat). Its description in RNAcentral is "lncRNA (ENSFCAG00000042485.2)". The record is from RNAcentral. Lineage: Eukaryota; Metazoa; Chordata; Mammalia; Carnivora; Felidae.